This 530-nucleotide ribosomal RNA is filed under the name uncultured bacterium. RNAcentral describes it as "partial 16S ribosomal RNA". It matches the Rfam family "Bacterial small subunit ribosomal RNA", at positions 355 to 874 of the family's 1533-position model. The record is from RNAcentral.
UGGGGAAUAUUGCACAAUGGGCGCAAGCCUGAUGCAGCCAUGCCGCGUGUGUGAAGAAGGCCUUCGGGUUGUAAAGCACUUUCAGCGAGGAGGAAGGUGGUGAGCUUAAUACGCUCAUCAAUUGACGUUACUCGCAGAAGAAGCACCGGCUAACUCCGUGCCAGCAGCCGCGGUAAUACGGAGGGUGCAAGCGUUAAUCGGAAUUACUGGGCGUAAAGCGCACGCAGGCGGUUUGUUAAGUCAGAUGUGAAAUCCCCGGGCUCAACCUGGGAACUGCAUUUGAAACUGGCAAGCUAGAGUCUCGUAGAGGGGGGUAGAAUUCCAGGUGUAGCGGUGAAAUGCGUAGAGAUCUGGAGGAAUACCGGUGGCGAAGGCGGCCCCCUGGACGAAGACUGACGCUCAGGUGCGAAAGCGUGGGGCAGCAAACAGGAUUAGAUACCCCUGGUAGUCCACGCUGUAAACGAUGUCGAUUUGGAGGUUGUGCCCCUUGAGGCGUGGCUUCCGGAGCUAACGCGUUAAAUCGACCGCCU